RNAcentral lists this ribosomal RNA (449 nucleotides) under uncultured organism. RNAcentral's name for it is "partial 16S ribosomal RNA". It matches the Rfam family "Bacterial small subunit ribosomal RNA", at positions 331 to 797 of the family's 1533-position model. The record is from RNAcentral.
GUACACUCCUGCGGGAGGCAGCAGUGGGGAAUAUUGGACAAUGGGCGCAAGCCUGAUCCAGCCAUGCCGCGUGAGUGAUGAAGGCCCUAGGGUUGUAAAGCUCUUUCACCGGUGAAGAUAAUGACGGUAACCGGAGAAGAAGCCCCGACUAACUUCGUGCCAGCAGCCGCGGUAAUACGAAGGGGGCUAGCGUUGUUCGGAUUUACUGGGCGUAAAGCGCACGUAGGCGGACUAUUAAGUCAGGGGUGAAAUCCCGGGGCUCAACCCCGGAACUGCCUUUGAUACUGGUAGUCUUGAGUUCGAGAGAGGUGAGUGGAAUUCCGAGUGUAGAGGUGAAAUUCGUAGAUAUUCGGAGGAACACCAGUGGCGAAGGCGGCUCACUGGCUCGAUACUGACGCUGAGGUGCGAAAGCGUGGGGAGCAAACAGGAUUAGAUACCCCGGUAGUCCC